Molecule: non-coding RNA, 600 nt
Organism: Pelobates cultripes (western spadefoot toad)
Lineage: Eukaryota; Metazoa; Chordata; Amphibia; Anura; Pelobatidae
Source: the annotation of a GenBank genome assembly
CCUUGGGACACCUGUUGGAGAGGAUGCAGUCUCAAAGGUACAUUCAUUCAUAUGUGGUGGGAAUGUUCCCAAGCACAAUCCUUUUGGGUUAAAAUACAUAACCUGAUAAAAAGAAUCUUUCAUAGGGCGCCACAACUAAAUCCUUGGACAUACCUACUUAACAGAUCUCUAGACGACUGGACAAGGAGGGAACAGAAAUUGAUCCAUAAGAUUACAUUAGCCGCAAGAAGAACAAUAGCACAGACAUGGCUCCAAACCACACUACUACAGAUUCAGUGGGUCAUUUCUAAUAUAAAAGAGGUAUACCUAACAUUGUACACCAACUUCCAAUGUAGAGCGAGCUAAAUGGAAUCAGCCAAAAAGCGAAACUGCCAACGGACGUCAGAAACUGUCCCCGUACACGGGGAGGCAAAUUAUAAGGAACACAUAGGGUUAACGGAAUCCCACUUCAAAAGACACCCGUAUUGCAUCAUUGAAUGUGUGCUAAUAGGUAUGGCGGGAUACUUAUUUAAGAAGUAUAUUAAUGUUUUUUGAUGUUAUGUUAUUUUAUUAAAAAAAAGAAAAAUAGAAAAAUCCCUUGACAAGUAGCCAAACAAGCCU